RNAcentral lists this ribosomal RNA (1267 nucleotides) under Salmonella enterica subsp. enterica serovar Typhimurium. Its description in RNAcentral is "partial 23S ribosomal RNA". It matches the Rfam family "Bacterial large subunit ribosomal RNA", at positions 1 to 1199 of the family's 2925-position model. Lineage: Bacteria; Pseudomonadati; Pseudomonadota; Gammaproteobacteria; Enterobacterales; Enterobacteriaceae. The record is from RNAcentral.
GGGUUGUGAGGUUAAGCGACUAAGCGUACACGGUGGAUGCCCUGGCAGUCAGAGGCGAUGAAGGACGUGCUAAUCUGCGAUAAGCGCCGGUAAGGUGAUAUGAACCGUUAUAACCGGCGAUUUCCGAAUGGGGAAACCCAGUGUGAUUCGUCACACUAUCAUUAACUGAAUCCAUAGGUUAAUGAGGCGAACCGGGGGAACUGAAACAUCUAAGUACCCCGAGGAAAAGAAAUCAACCGAGAUUCCCCCAGUAGCGGCGAGCGAACGGGGAGGAGCCCAGAGCCUGAAUCAGCAUGUGUGUUAGUGGAAGCGUCUGGAAAGGCGCGCGAUACAGGGUGACAGCCCCGUACACAAAAGCGCAUGUGCUGUGAGCUCGAUGAGUAGGGCGGGACACGUGGUAUCCUGUCUGAAUAUGGGGGGACCAUCCUCCAAGGCUAAAUACUCCUGACUGACCGAUAGUGAACCAGUACCGUGAGGGAAAGGCGAAAAGAACCCCGGCGAGGGGAGUGAAAAAGAACCUGAAACCGUGUACGUACAAGCAGUGGGAGCCCCACCACUAAGCCAGUGGUGAACUCCACAUCCGCAUCCUUUGCUGAGGAUACGGUUAACGGAGCGAAAGCGACGUUCAACCGCAAAACAAGCAGAGGGGGCUUAGUGGUGGGGUGACUGCGUACCUUUUGUAUAAUGGGUCAGCGACUUAUAUUCUGUAGCAAGGUUAACCGAAUAGGGGAGCCGGAGGGAAACCGAGUCUUAAUUGGGCGUUAAGUUGCAGGGUAUAGACCCGAAACCCGGUGAUCUAGCCAUGGGCAGGUUGAAGGUUGGGUAACACUAACUGGAGGACCGAACCGACUAAUGUUGAAAAAUUAGCGGAUGACCUGUGGCUGGGGGUGAAAGGCCAAUCAAACCGGGAGAUAGCUGGUUCUCCCCGAAAGCUAUUUAGGUAGCGCCUCGUGAAUUCAUCUCCGGGGGUAGAGCACUGUUUCGGCUAGGGGGCCAUCCCGGCUUACCAACCCGAUGCAAACUGCGAAUACCGGAGAAUGUUAUCACGGGAGACACACGGCGGGUGCUAACGUCCGUCGUGAAGAGGGAAACAACCCAGACCGCCAGCUAAGGUCCCAAAGUCAUGGUUAAGUGGGAAACGAUGUGGGAAGGCCCAGACAGCCAGGAUGUUGGCUUAGAAGCAGCCAUCAUUUAAAGAAAGCGUAAUAGCUCACUGGUCGAGUCGGCCUGCGCGGAAGAUGUAACGGGGCUAAACCAUGCACCGAAG